GUCGGAAAAUCGAGAAGGGUCAGUGGCUCUAUGCAAAUGGACACCGCACAUCCUCUGAUUUUGAUCUUGAUGGCUGGACGGCUGAGGAUUUCUACGAUCUUAGUUAUUCUGAGUUGCCAUAUGGUUUUCAGUGGUGCCCAAUUCGUGGAUUGACUCAAUUAGCAUCGUUAUUUGGGGAGGGUGAACACCAUCUGCAUUCUUUACUUGGGGACCAUCCGGGUACUUCAACUAGUACACGUGUUUGUCCUUACUUGGCUCUACGUGGGUUUCCUAAUCAUGCUCACCCUGCACCUUCAAGUGCUGCUGAAUCUAUACCUGACAGUAGUCAAUUUCAUCGGCAUCAGACUGGCUUGGCAGGACAAUUUUCUGGAGAUAUGGUCAACUCCCGCAACUUUUCUGCUACUGAUCCGCAACUUCACAACUGGCAACAACAGCCCCCGCUUUCCUACGCAGCUUCAGGGGUUCCUGAUCAGUCUGUAUCUCAGG
This 486-nucleotide unclassified non-coding RNA is filed under the name Hevea brasiliensis (rubber tree). Lineage: Eukaryota; Viridiplantae; Streptophyta; Magnoliopsida; Malpighiales; Euphorbiaceae. The record is from RNAcentral.